AAAAGUGGCGCUAAGAAUACUACCGGGUCCCCAAAUAAUUGUGAAUACAGAAGCGAUGACGCAGUAUCUUGCUACAUUUCCAUUCUCGACUGGAACGCCACUUACCAAGGAGAAAUCAAUCACACUGAGCUAGGGAAUGGGAACUUCAACCUCACCAUCGCUAUAAAAAAAUGGAAUCUUCCACAAAAUCCUGCUGAUAUGUGGAUACACAUGAAAUUUACAGAAAAUUCUACUGAUCGUUACACCAGCACAACACCUUCAGAUUUUGUGCCAGUUCCGACUGCAGAACCAGCGUUCCAGAACCUUUCCAUGUUUAAACAAAAUUCUAGUUUGUCAGAAAAUGCGUGGGCUGAGCUAAACAAGACAGUAUGGAGACGCAUCAAGCUCGAUGUUAUGAACACAAUGAUGACAAAGUAUAAAGACUGGGUAGAGAAGGAAAUACGAUAUUAGGAAGUUUAUGGGGACGGCCACCUAAAUGGGCUCUAUAUCAUUGUAUGUCAUUGACUUCGAGAAAUGUGACUAAAUCAAUGGCGUAUUACUCUG
Rhipicephalus sanguineus (brown dog tick) is the source of this 543-nucleotide long non-coding RNA. RefSeq lists it as uncharacterized. The record is from RefSeq and is a predicted model, not a curated record. The transcript has 2 exons. Lineage: Eukaryota; Metazoa; Arthropoda; Arachnida; Ixodida; Ixodidae.